RNAcentral lists this transfer RNA (77 nucleotides) under Streptomyces lasiicapitis. RNAcentral describes it as "tRNA-Sec". Lineage: Bacteria; Bacillati; Actinomycetota; Actinomycetes; Kitasatosporales; Streptomycetaceae. The record is from RNAcentral.
CGUCGCGAGGGCGUGGAAGCGGCCGCCGGACUUCAGCUUCAGCGCGCCGCGCCGGUUCAGCUCCCAGCCGCCGCGCC